This 323-nucleotide ribosomal RNA is filed under the name uncultured eukaryote. RNAcentral's name for it is "partial 18S ribosomal RNA". It matches the Rfam family "Eukaryotic small subunit ribosomal RNA", at positions 1470 to 1796 of the family's 1831-position model. The record is from RNAcentral.
CCCUUAGAUGUUCUGGGCCGCACGCGCGCUACACUGACGAAUGCAACGAGCUUAUAACCUUGGCCGAAAGGUCUGGGUAAUCUCCAAAUUUCGUCGUGAUGGGGAUAGAUUAUUGCAAUUAUUAAUCUUCAACGAGGAAUGCCUAGUAAGCGCAAGUCAUCAGCUUGCGUUGAUUACGUCCCUGCCCUUUGUACACACCGCCCGUCGCUCCUACCGAUUGAAUGGUCCGGUGAAAUCUCCGGACUGGCGUGAGUCGGAGCAAUCUGACAAACGCCGGAAAGUUGAUUAAACCUUACCAUUUAGAGGAAGGUGAANUCGUAACA